AUUGAACGCUGGCGGCAGGCUUAACACAUGCAAGUCGAGCGGGGUGAUGGUGCUUGCACUAUCACUUAGCGGCGGACGGGUGAGUAAUGCUUAGGAAUCUGCCUAUUAGUGGGGGACAACAUCUCGAAAGGGAUGCUAAUACCGCAUACGUCCUACGGGAGAAAGCAGGGGAUCACUUGUGACCUUGCGCUAAUAGAUGAGCCUAAGUCGGAUUAGCUAGUUGGUGGGGUAAAGGCCUACCAAGGCGACGAUCUGUAGCGGGUCGGAGAGGAUGAUCCGCCACACUGGGACUGAGACACGGCCCAGACUCCUACGGGAGGCAGCAGUGGGGAAUAUUGGACAAUGGGGGGAACCCUGAUCCAGCCAUGCCGCGUGUGUGAAGAAGGCCUUAUGGUUGUAAAGCACUUUAAGCGAGGAGGAGGCUCUUUUGGUUAAUACCCAAGAUGAGUGGGCGUUACUCGCAGAAUAAGCACCGGCUAACUCUGUGCCAGCAGCCGCCGUAA
RNAcentral lists this ribosomal RNA (503 nucleotides) under uncultured bacterium. Its description in RNAcentral is "partial 16S ribosomal RNA". It matches the Rfam family "Bacterial small subunit ribosomal RNA", at positions 30 to 523 of the family's 1533-position model. The record is from RNAcentral.